This 581-nucleotide unclassified non-coding RNA is filed under the name Hevea brasiliensis (rubber tree). The record is from RNAcentral. Lineage: Eukaryota; Viridiplantae; Streptophyta; Magnoliopsida; Malpighiales; Euphorbiaceae.
UUUGACCAUGGCAAUGUAGCUAUUUCAUAUGUUUGUAUCUCAUUCAUCCUACUCAAAAUUAUAAAACUACGACAAGUCAAAUAGCUUAAUGGCUAAGUGCCCUUGAAAUGAGCUGUCCGAAACCUGACUUGUAGGAUUUGGAGUGAUUUUGCUCAGUUGAUUUGGGCUGUUACCCACUUUGGAAAAAAUAUUUUCAAUAAUGAUGGGCAUUGGAAGAUAAAUAUUUUGCCCAUAAAGAACACCUUUGUUUGCCUAUCAAAUGAAAUAUUUAGGCAUGCACAGUCAUUUAUUGAAGGGAUCUAACUUUGAUUUCUUGUUUCCUUUUUUCCUGUUUGCAGUGGGGCUGCAAUGCUACAUUGAUGUAUGAUCGGGUUUUAAGAUACCCUGAUCGUGUUAGAAACCUGUACUUCACUUACCUUUUUGUUCUCCGAGCUGUUAUGAAGGUGAGUGUUAAAAGAGUAUGAAGUUAGAUUUUCUCUACAUGAAGGUAUAUAGUAAGUGAUUUAGUGAUAGAAAUGCUGUUUCUUCUACAUUAUUUUAUAUUUUAUGUCUACAUGAAUGUUGAUAAUAGGCAAAUAAAU